This is an RNA transcript of Phoenix dactylifera (date palm), 1207 nucleotides long. RefSeq lists it as uncharacterized. NCBI's taxonomy places the organism in Eukaryota, Viridiplantae, Streptophyta, Magnoliopsida, Arecales, Arecaceae. The record is from RefSeq and is a predicted model, not a curated record.
ACCCGACGCCGGCAAAAGGGCUGCACUAAAAUCGCGUUUACUGAUACCGAAAACGAUCCGACGCGGCGAGGAGGGCGAGAAAACCCUCUGUCUCCGUUGUAAAACCCUAGCUGUCGCUCGGCGCGCGCGCGCGCGCUCUCCCUCUCUCUCACCCAAAACCCUAAGCGCCAUGGCCGAGGCCGAGGGGGAUGACCAAAACCUCGAGCCCCAGCACGAUCCCCCGCCCCUCACGAAGCGAAAGCCCGUCUCCGAUUGCGUCGAAGAAGGGGAGGAAGAGGAGGAGAGGGAUACGAAGCUCCGGAAGCCGGACACCACUGCUCCUCUCCAAGAAGACGACGAGGAUGACGACGACGACGGAGAGGAUGGCGACUACGAGGAGGGCGCCAACGACGACGGUGAAGCGAGCGAUCCCAAUGGGCAUGCCGCAACCGAUAAGGGGAAGGGCGUGGUAGCAGCGGUGGAUAAGGGGAAGGGCAAGAUGGUGGUGGAAGAGGAAGACGAUGAGGACUCUGAUAACAGUAACGAUGACGGUAGUGGCGAUGAGAUGGCGGAUGAGGGUGACGACGACAGUGAUUUCGCGGAUGAUCCGCUCGCCGAGGUCGAUCUCUCGAACAUUCUCCCCUCGAGGACGCGGCAGCGAGCAGCCACGCAGCAAGGGAUUCGUUUCGUUGCCGAUCGAGAUGGGGGUGACAGAUGAUUGAAGAUUACCUGUGAUGAGACGAAAGGGAGUUCUUCGUACCAGCUUAAUUGGACGAAGCGGGCAAGCCAGCCUUAGGAGCUCCUAUGCUAGUCCACUACUAAUCGGAUGACUGAAACCUAGUCCAACAUAUCCGCAGUUUGCGUGCAACAUUAUUAUCUGGACUGGAAAGGUUCAUUGACUGAUAGAAAACAGGAAAUUGAAGAGAAGGUGGCAGGUGACCUUGCUGGGUUGAGUUUCACAAAACAUUAGGGGUUCUUUCCCUCUCAGGUGUUUGUGAUUUCUCACAUUUUUGUCACCAUUCCUCUUUAUUUGUCUGUGUGCUUAUUAGCGUUCUGCCGCCUCUUUAGGAGACAUAUUGGGUGAUCUUCCUGUUAUAUCACCCCCUCUCUGUGUAUUAGUUAUGUCACUUGAAGGCAUCAAAGAUUUUCAAGUUGGUUUAGUACACAGUAAGCUUUGAUUUGUACAUCUUUGCUUGAAGUUGUUGGAAGUGAUCAUUGGUGUUAUCUA